RNAcentral lists this ribosomal RNA (500 nucleotides) under uncultured eukaryote. Its description in RNAcentral is "SSU rRNA". It matches the Rfam family "Eukaryotic small subunit ribosomal RNA", at positions 34 to 545 of the family's 1831-position model. The record is from RNAcentral.
AUUGUCCAGAUAGCCAUGCAUGUCUAAGUAUAAAUGGUAUACAGUGAAACUGCGAAUGGCUCAUUAAAACAGUUAUAGUUUAUUUGGUAAUCGAAUUUACAUGGAUAACCGUGGUAAUUCCAGAGCUAAUACAUGCUGUAAAGCCCGACUUUUCGGAAGGGCCGUAUUUAUUAGAUAACAGACCAAUAUUCCUCGUGUCUAUUGUGGUGAAUCAUAGUAACUAAUCGGAUCGCAUGGGCUAGUCCCGCGACAAACCAUUCAAGUUUCUGCCCCAUCAGCUUUCGAUGGUAGUGUAUUGGACUACCAUGGCUUUUACGGGUAACGGAGGAUUAGGGUUCGAUUCCGGAGAGGGAGCCUGAGAAACGGCUACCACAUCUAAGGAAGGCAGCAGGCGCGUAAAUUACCCAAUUCUAAUUCAGAGAGGUAGUGACAAGAAAUAACGGGUCGGGGCUAUGCCCCGGGACUGCAAUGAGGUGAAUUUACACCCCUUUUCGAGUAAC